CACAUGCAAGUCGAACGGCAGCGCGGGGCAACCUGGCGGCGAGUGGCGAACGGGUGAGUAAUAUAUCGGAACGUACCCUGGAGUGGGGGAUAACGUAGCGAAAGUUACGCUAAUACCGCAUACGAUCUAAGGAUGAAAGUGGGGGAUCGCAAGACCUCAUGCUCCUGGAGCGGCCGAUAUCUGAUUAGCUAGUUGGUGGGGUAAAGGCCCACCAAGGCAUCGAUCAGUAGCUGGUCUGAGAGGACGACCAGCCACACUGGAACUGAGACACGGUCCAGACUCCUACGGGAGGCAGCAGUGGGGAAUUUUGGACAAUGGGCGCAAGCCUGAUCCAGCAAUGCCGCGUGAGUGAAGAAGGCCUUCGGGUUGUAAAGCUCUUUUGUCAGGGAAGAAACGGUGGGGGCUAAUAUCCCCUGCUAUGACGGUACCUGAAGAAUAAGCACCGGCUAACUACGUGCCAGCAGCCGCGGUAAUACGUAGGGUGCAAGCGUUAAUCGGAAUUACUGGGCGUAAAGCGUGCGCAGGCGGUUUUGUAAGACUGUCGUGAAAUCCCCGGGCUCAACCUGGGAAUGGCGAUGGUGACUGCAAGGC
This 591-nucleotide ribosomal RNA is filed under the name uncultured bacterium. Its description in RNAcentral is "bacterial SSU rRNA". It matches the Rfam family "Bacterial small subunit ribosomal RNA", at positions 52 to 641 of the family's 1533-position model. The record is from RNAcentral.